Molecule: ribosomal RNA, 478 nt
Filed under: uncultured organism
Description: partial 16S ribosomal RNA
Rfam family: Bacterial small subunit ribosomal RNA
Source: RNAcentral
GUACACUCCUACGGGAGGCAGCAGUGGGGAAUUUUGGACAAUGGGCGAAAGCCUGAUCCAGCAAUGCCGCGUGCAGGAUGAAGGCCUUCGGGUUGUAAACUGCUUUUGUACGGAACGAAAAAGCUCCUUCUAAUACAGGGGGCCCAUGACGGUACCGUAAGAAUAAGCACCGGCUAACUACGUGCCAGCAGCCGCGGUAAUACGUAGGGUGCGAGCGUUAAUCGGAAUUACUGGGCGUAAAGCGUGCGCAGGCGGUUAUGUAAGACAGAUGUGAAAUCCCCGGGCUCAACCUGGGAACUGCAUUUGUGACUGCAUGGCUAGAGUACGGUAGAGGGGGAUGGAAUUCCGCGUGUAGCAGUGAAAUGCGUAGAUAUGCGGAGGAACACCGAUGGCGAAGGCAAUCCCCUGGACCUGUACUGACGCUCAUGCACGAAAGCGUGGGGAGCAAACAGGAUUAGAUACCCCGGUAGUCCCAUGA